GACGAACGCUGGCGGCGUGCCUAAUACAUGCAAGUAGAACGCUGAAGAGAGGAGCUUGCUCUUCUUGGAAGAGUUGCGAACGGGUGAGUAACGCGUAGGUAACCUGCCUUGUAGCGGGGGAUAACUAUUGGAAACGAUAGCUAAUACCGCAUAACAAUGGGUGACCCAUGUCAUUCAUUUGAAAGGGGCAACUGCUCCACUACAAGAUGGACCUGCGUUGUAUUAGCUAGUAGGUGAGGUAACGGCUCACCUAGGCGACGAUACAUAGCCGACCUGAGAGGGUGAUCGGCCACACUGGGACUGAGACACGGCCCAGACUCCUACGGGAGGCAGCAGUAGGGAAUCUUCGGCAAUGGGGGCAACCCUGACCGAGCAACGCCGCGUGAGUGAAGAAGGUUUUCGGAUCGUAAAGCUCUGUUGUAAGUCAAGAACGAGUGUGAGAGUGGAAAGUUCACACU
RNAcentral lists this ribosomal RNA (458 nucleotides) under Streptococcus vestibularis. RNAcentral describes it as "bacterial SSU rRNA". It matches the Rfam family "Bacterial small subunit ribosomal RNA", at positions 28 to 470 of the family's 1533-position model. The record is from RNAcentral. Lineage: Bacteria; Bacillati; Bacillota; Bacilli; Lactobacillales; Streptococcaceae.